Molecule: ribosomal RNA, 252 nt
Filed under: uncultured bacterium
Lineage: Bacteria
Description: partial 16S ribosomal RNA
Rfam family: Bacterial small subunit ribosomal RNA
Source: RNAcentral
ACGAAGGGUGCUAGCGUUGUUCGGAAUGACUGGGCGUAAAGGGUGCGUAGGCGGUAAGAUGCGUCUGAUGUGAAAUCCCUGGGCUUAACCUAGGAACUGCAUUGGAUACGGUCUUACUAGAGUCCGCGAGAGGAAGAUGGAAUUGUGCGUGUAGAGGUGAAAUUCGUAGAUAUGCACAAGAACACCGGUGGCGAAGGCGAUCUUCUGGAGCGGUACUGACGCUAAGGCACGAAAGCGUGGGGAGCAAACAGG